RNAcentral lists this non-coding RNA (21 nucleotides) under Arabidopsis thaliana (thale cress). The record is from RNAcentral. Lineage: Eukaryota; Viridiplantae; Streptophyta; Magnoliopsida; Brassicales; Brassicaceae.
ACCAAGUUCGUGCUGAAGUCC